This 478-nucleotide ribosomal RNA is filed under the name uncultured bacterium. RNAcentral describes it as "partial 16S ribosomal RNA". It matches the Rfam family "Bacterial small subunit ribosomal RNA", at positions 28 to 507 of the family's 1533-position model. The record is from RNAcentral.
GAUGAACGCUGGCGGCGUGCUUAACACAUGCAAGUCGAACGGGAAACCUUUUAUUGAAGCUUCGGCAGAUUUAGCUGGUUUCUAGUGGCGGACGGGUGAGUAACGCGUGGGUAACCUGCCUUAUACAGGGGGAUAACAACCAGAAAUGGUUGCUAAUACCGCAUAAGCGCACAGGACCGCAUGGUCCGGUGUGAAAAACUCCGAUGGUAUAAGAUGGACCCGCGUUGGAUUAGCUAGUUGGCAGGGUAACGGCCUACCAAGGCGACGAUCCAUAGCCGGCCUGAGAGGGUGAACGGCCACAUUGGGACUGAGACACGGCCCAGACUCCUACGGGAGGCAGCAGUGGGGAAUAUUGCACAAUGGGGGAAACCCUGAUGCAGCGACGCCGCGUGAAGGAAGAAGUAUCUCGGUAUGUAAACUUCUAUCAGCAGGGAAGAUAGUGACGGUACCUGACUAAGAAGCCCCGGCUAACUACGUG